GAUGAACGCUGGCGGCGUGCUUAACACAUGCAAGUCGAACGAUGAUCCCCGCUUGCGGGGGAUUAGUGGCGAACGGGUGAGUAACACGUGAGUAACCUGCCCUUAACUCUGGGAUAAGCCUGGGAAACCGGGUCUAAUACCGGAUAUGACCUCCUGCCGCAUGGUGGGGGGUGAAAGUCUUUUUGUGGUUUUGGAUGGACUCGCGGCCUAUCAGCUUGUUGGUGAGGUAAUGGCUCACCAAGGCGACGACGGGUAGCCGGCCUGAGAGGGUGACCGGCCACACUGGGACUGAGACACGGCCCAGACUCCUACGGGAGGCAGCAGUGGGGAAUAUUGCACAAUGGGCGCAAGCCUGAUGCAGCGACGCCGCGUGAGGAU
Molecule: ribosomal RNA, 378 nt
Filed under: uncultured bacterium
Lineage: Bacteria
Description: bacterial SSU rRNA
Rfam family: Bacterial small subunit ribosomal RNA
Source: RNAcentral